RNAcentral lists this long non-coding RNA (654 nucleotides) under Aquilegia coerulea. Its description in RNAcentral is "long non-coding RNA (ACOE_LNC000917)". Lineage: Eukaryota; Viridiplantae; Streptophyta; Magnoliopsida; Ranunculales; Ranunculaceae. The record is from RNAcentral.
CCACACUAAUUAAAUAUAUCUAACCAUCAGAACAAACGUUUCCAUUACAUUACCCAAAACUAUAGAUGAGGGUAUAUCAUGUAUGAUCAAUCCAUACAUAUAUCAAGGACUUGGACUAACAACAAAAAGAAUUACUGUUAACAUUGUUUAUAUCAUGCACACCCAAACCAAUCCCAAUCAACCAUACUGUAUAUGCAUAGAAGAUAUCAAUAUUAAAGUACUUAUUAGUUUAGCAAAAAUCAUUUUUCUUUUAUAAACAUAAAAUCUACUCACUCGUUUGGUGUGCAGGUUAUGUUCCUUCUUCUUCAUCUAUCUUUUUUUUUUCUUUCUUUUUAAUGGUCUGCAACUCCUCGCACAAUUGCCCACAACACCAUAGUUUUUUCUUCUUUCAGUUCUCUGCACCUUCUUCUUCUACUACUACUACUACAAGUUUCUGCAAACUUUCCUUCCUCUACUCUGAUCGCCGCCAAUUUUUUUUCUCUUCUUCGCAAACUUCUCUUUUCAAUUCAAUUUCUAAUAAUAUGCGAACAAAGCCCUUGCUUCAAUCUCUAUAUAGAGUGAUUAAGUCGGUUUAUGUAACGGUUCACAAUGAAUCCACAUCUGAUCGUGUUUCCUCAGCGAAUGAGCCUGUGGCUCAAUGGUAGCACCCCUCUC